AGGGAAAAGUUUUUUUUUUAAAAAAAGACUUAUGGAGGAGAGAAAAGGAGUACAGCUAUUAAGAGGAAGAAAGCUUCGUGAACCCAGGCUUGAAUGAGCUGCGUUUGAAUGGCGGAGCACUCAGUGCACUUACUGCCAGAUACCCUGCCUGCGUGACCAAUUUAUUCCUGCUGUAUUUACCGAGGACAGAGGACCAAAACCACCUCUGGUGUAAGUCCGGUGACUUCAGUGAAGUUACAACAGAGAUGUCUUUGGCUCACCGAGAAACCGCUUGUGCAGAUCAAUGCAAAGAAAGGACAGAGAGAAAGUGAGAAAGAAAGAAGGAAAGAAAGAGUCUUUGCAUUUGGAAUGGGAUUUCAACGUAUUGAAAAUGUUUGGGUCAGCUACUAUUUUACUUGGUUCUUUUUGUUAUUUUGCUCUUUCUUAUACAAUGACAGCAACAACACAAGUGAAAUAAAUAAAGGGAGUUUCACCAA
Molecule: long non-coding RNA, 476 nt
Organism: Lagopus leucura (white-tailed ptarmigan)
Lineage: Eukaryota; Metazoa; Chordata; Aves; Galliformes; Phasianidae
Exons: 2
Source: RefSeq, a predicted model, not a curated record